RNAcentral lists this transfer RNA (69 nucleotides) under Marmota monax (woodchuck). Its description in RNAcentral is "tRNA.Gly". The stretch from base 5 to 65 matches the Rfam family "tRNA", at positions 6 to 65 of the family's 71-position model. From Rfam's summary of the family: Transfer RNA (tRNA) molecules are approximately 80 nucleotides in length. Their secondary structure includes four short double-helical elements and three loops (D, anti-codon, and T loops). Further hydrogen bonds mediate the characteristic L-shaped molecular structure. tRNAs have two regions of fundamental functional importance: the anti-codon, which is responsible for specific mRNA codon recognition, and the 3' end, to which the tRNAs corresponding amino acid is attached (by aminoacyl-tRNA synthetases). tRNAs cope with the degeneracy of the genetic code in two manners: having more than one tRNA (with a specific anti-codon) for a particular amino acid; and 'wobble' base-pairing, i.e. permitting non-standard base-pairing at the 3rd anti-codon position. Lineage: Eukaryota; Metazoa; Chordata; Mammalia; Rodentia; Sciuridae. The record is from RNAcentral.
GGGUUGUAGCUCAGUGGUAGAGUGCUUGCUUCCCACACAUGAGGCCCUGGGUUCAAUCCUUAGCACUCA